RNAcentral lists this ribosomal RNA (447 nucleotides) under uncultured bacterium. Its description in RNAcentral is "partial 16S ribosomal RNA". It matches the Rfam family "Bacterial small subunit ribosomal RNA", at positions 29 to 523 of the family's 1533-position model. The record is from RNAcentral.
AACGAACGCUGGCGGCAGGCUUAACACAUGCAAGUCGAACGCCCCGCAAGGGGAGUGGCAGACGGGUGAGUAACGCGUGGGAAUCUACCUAGUUCUACGGAACAACUGAGGGAAACUUCAGCUAAUACCGUAUACGCCCUACGGGGGAAAGAUUUAUCGGAAUUAGAUGAGCCCGCGUUGGAUUAGCUAGUUGGUGAGGUAAUGGCUCACCAAGGCGACGAUCCAUAGCUGGUCUGAGAGGAUGAUCGGCCACACUGGGACUGAGACACGGCCCAGACUCCUACGGGAGGCAGCAGUGGGGAAUAUUGGACAAUGGGCGCAAGCCUGAUCCGGCCAUGCCGCGUGAGUGAUGAAGGCCUUAGGGUUGUAAAGCUCUUUCAGUAGGGAAGAUAAUGACGGUACCUACAGAAGAAGCCCCGGCUAACUUCGUGCCAGCCGCCGCGGUAA